CUCAGCUGUUUGCCUACGUUUGCGCCAUUACAGUCUCACGCACAACGCGCUGGAUGCACACCUGGAAGCGGACAUCGAAAUGGUCGGCAAUACAUACUGUGAGAAUUAUGCUCUAAGUCUUCCUGGCACGUUUGAAAUGUGCAACCAGAAAGAAUGCGGGCGUUAGAAAGCUGGAGAGUGGAUUUUGUGUCGUUGUUUUAAACGCAACACGAUCAUACAAAAGCGUGAAGUCAAAUGUCGCUUUGCGAAUGGCACUGAGGUGACGGACGCCUGCAGUGCGCCACAGCGUCCAAGGGGUUCAGCAUGUGGGACCAUUGUCCGAGUGCAAUGCGCAAUGCGGUCGGAAUUAAAUACCGCAUUUUCUAGUUUGUUAGGUAUGGCACGCGUCGACCUGCGGACCAUUCUAGUCGUAAUCAGCCGCGUUCAGAAGUUAUGAAAGUAUGUAAGAGCCCACCAUGCUUUGCAAAAACUUUUUAUCAAUGCACGGACACUUCCCGGUAUUGUCGCAAUAUACGCUCGAUAUGUUUGUAAAGACAGUUACAAAAAGAAUUAAUACAAGUCUUGUCAAUUCAAUGCGUAAUACAAUGAACAACAAUAAACAUUGGUGAGGCAAUUAGUUACUAAUUAAUUGACUGAUGAUUUUAAGCAUUAUGAUGUCUACUUACAAUGU
Molecule: long non-coding RNA, 670 nt
Organism: Bactrocera tryoni
Lineage: Eukaryota; Metazoa; Arthropoda; Insecta; Diptera; Tephritidae
Exons: 3
Source: RefSeq, a predicted model, not a curated record